Long non-coding RNA from Stomoxys calcitrans (stable fly), 921 nucleotides. RefSeq lists it as uncharacterized. Lineage: Eukaryota; Metazoa; Arthropoda; Insecta; Diptera; Muscidae. The record is from RefSeq and is a predicted model, not a curated record. The transcript is spliced from 3 exons.
UGUUGAUGAGAUAUCAAUAUUUCCAAUCAACUCAGAAGAAAAGCUGGAAGAAUUUGAUAAAAGUCUUGAAACGAAAACAGACCCAUAUAUGCGUCAAAUGAAAAACCUUAUCGAAAGUAAUCCAGGACGAAAUCUGCACAAAAUUUUCGAUAGAGAAAUAAUAAUGAAUUUCAAUGUUGAUGGUACUUUUGGGAAAAAGGGAUUACGGGACUAUGGCAACGUGCUGGCAGUAAUUUUAGAUGUGAUUUCAACAUUUAGUGAAACUCCAGAUAAAACUUUAAGAGAUGCUUUUCAACGCCAAAAGAAAAAAUAUUUUAAGCAGAAUAGCCGCAAUAAAGGACAAAACGAAGAAGAUGAUGAAGAACGAUAAUUUUUUUUUUUUUUCAAUUCAAAAUUAGAGUAUUUAUUGGGUUGCCCAAAAAGUAAUUGCGGAUUUUUUAAAAGAAAGUAAAUGCAUUUUUAAUAAAACUUAGAAUGAACUUUAAUCAAAUAUACAUUUUUUACACUUUUUUUCUAAAGCAAGCUAAAAGUAACAGCUGAUAACUGACAGAAGAAAGAAUGCUAUUACAGAGUCACAAGCCGUUGAAAAAAUUUGUCAACGCCGACUAUAUGAAAAAUCCGCAAUUACUUUUGGGGCAACCUGGCUAUGCUCUCGCAAACGUGCCAUGAAUGUGGUAAAAAUCAAGGACAAGCAGUUCAACUUUUGACUUUUUUACUGCUUUUAUUGAAUGGAUCAUGUGGAUGUGUUUGGAUAAGCCAAAACAAAACACCACAUUUAAACUGCGUCUAUUAGAGCUCAACCAGGUCAUUAUGGGUGUAUUUAUAUCUCAUAGUUGAAAAAGUUUAAUUUUUUAAAAUAUUUUUGUAAUUUAUAUUGUAACUAAUUUCCCCUUUCUCAAUAAACAACUUUGUUCUUUUAAA